AGCGAACGCUGGCGGCAGGCUUAACACAUGCAAGUCGAGCGGGCGUAGCAAUACGUCAGCGGCAGACGGGUGAGUAACGCGUGGGAACAUACCUUUUGGUUCGGAACAACUGAGGGAAACUUCAGCUAAUACCGAAUAAGCCCUUACGGGGAAAGAUUUAUCGCCGAAAGAUUGGCCCGCGUCUGAUUAGCUAGUUGGUGAGGUAACGGCUCACCAAGGCGACGAUCAGUAGCUGGUCUGAGAGGAUGAUCAGCCACAUUGGGACUGAGACACGGCCCAAACUCCUACGGGAGGCAGCAGUGGGGAAUAUUGGACAAUGGGCGCAAGCCUGAUCCAGCCAUGCCGCGUGAGUGAUGAAGGCCCGUAGGGUU
This 371-nucleotide ribosomal RNA is filed under the name uncultured bacterium. RNAcentral describes it as "bacterial SSU rRNA". It matches the Rfam family "Bacterial small subunit ribosomal RNA", at positions 29 to 424 of the family's 1533-position model. The record is from RNAcentral.